This 518-nucleotide ribosomal RNA is filed under the name Lerista ameles. RNAcentral's name for it is "partial 16S ribosomal RNA". It matches the Rfam family "Bacterial large subunit ribosomal RNA", at positions 1816 to 2595 of the family's 2925-position model. The record is from RNAcentral. Lineage: Eukaryota; Metazoa; Chordata; Lepidosauria; Squamata; Scincidae.
UAGCCUUUAGCAAUACAAGUAUUAAAGGUCCUGCCUGCCCAGUGAAAAUUUUAAACGGCCGCGGUAUCCUAACCGUGCAAAGGUAGCGUAAUCACCUGUCUUCCAAAUAAAGACCAGUAUGAACGGCUAAAUGAGGACAAACCUGUCUCCUACAACCAAUCAGUGAAACUGAUCUCCCAGUACAAAAGCUGGAAUAAUAACACUAGACGAGAAGACCCUGUGGAGCUUAAAAUGCACCUAGUACAAACAAAUAACUAGUAUAAAUUUUAAGUUGGGGCGACUUCGGAAAAAAACAAAACUUCCGAGCACAGAACCACCAGUUCUAACCGAGGCAAACAAGCCAAAACAAAACUUGACCCAGUCCACACUGACCAACGAACCAAGUUACCCCAGGGAUAACAGCGCCAUCCUCUUCAAGAGCCCAUAUCGACAAGAGGGUUUACGACCUCGAUGUUGGAUCAGGGCACCCAAAUGGUGCAACCGCUAUUAAAGGUUCGUUUGUUCAACGAUUAACAGCC